Non-coding RNA from Paramuricea clavata, 227 nucleotides. The record is from the annotation of a GenBank genome assembly. NCBI's taxonomy places the organism in Eukaryota, Metazoa, Cnidaria, Anthozoa, Malacalcyonacea, Plexauridae.
AACAAACAAACAACAACAAACAACCAACAAACAACCAACAAACAAACAACAAACAAACAACAAACAAACAACAAACAAACAAACAAACAACAAACAAACAACAAACAAACAACCAACAAACAACCAACAAACAACCAACAAACAACAAACAACAAACAACAAACAACAAACAACAAACAACAAACAACAAACAACAAACAACAAACAACAAACAACAAACAACAAAC